UGCAAGUCGAGCGAGAAAGCUCUCUUCGGAGAGUGAGUAGAGCGGCGCACGGGUGAGUAACGCGUGGAUGAUCUACCCUGAAGAUCGGGAUAACAGUUGGAAACGACUGCUAAUACCGUAUAAUCUGCAUAUUUAACUUUAUGUGGGAAAGGUGGCCUCUAUUUAUAAGCUACCACUUUUGGAUGAGUCCGCGUCUCAUUAGCUUGUUGGUGGGGUAAUGGCCUACCAAGGCAACGAUGAGUAGCUGGUCUGAGAGGAUGAUCNGCCACACUGGGACUGAAACACGGCCCAGACUCCUACGGGAGGCAGCAGUGUGGAAUAUUGCGCAAUGGGGGAAACCCUGACGCAGCGACGCCGCCUGUAGGANGAACGNUUUCGG
Molecule: ribosomal RNA, 379 nt
Filed under: Desulfovibrionaceae bacterium enrichment culture clone MS_ANT_O9
Lineage: Bacteria; Pseudomonadati; Thermodesulfobacteriota; Desulfovibrionia; Desulfovibrionales; Desulfovibrionaceae
Description: bacterial SSU rRNA
Rfam family: Bacterial small subunit ribosomal RNA
Source: RNAcentral